Molecule: small nuclear RNA, 296 nt
Filed under: Triticum aestivum (bread wheat)
Lineage: Eukaryota; Viridiplantae; Streptophyta; Magnoliopsida; Poales; Poaceae
Rfam family: U2 spliceosomal RNA (bases 101-296)
About the family: U2 is a small nuclear RNA (snRNA) component of the spliceosome (involved in pre-mRNA splicing).
Source: RNAcentral
UUCACCGUCCUCGCGACUCGUUUAGUACCACAUGGCCUAGCGAGGAGGAAGCGCAGCGCAGCGAGGCUAUAAAGAGCUGGGGUGGCCACCUCUACAACUCAUACCUUUCUCGGCCUUUUGGCUAAGAUCAAGUGUAGUAUCUGUUCUUAUCAGUUUAAUAUCUGAUAUGUGGGUCAUGUGCCCACAAUGAUGUUAAAUUUAUUUUUUAUGGGGAAGGGUCCACCACAACGGCUUGCCAUUGGGAUCCUCGGGUGUCGCCCAGGUGUUGCACUACAGUCUGGGCUGGCGCACCCCAA